This 200-nucleotide ribosomal RNA is filed under the name uncultured bacterium. Its description in RNAcentral is "partial 16S ribosomal RNA". It matches the Rfam family "Bacterial small subunit ribosomal RNA", at positions 28 to 240 of the family's 1533-position model. The record is from RNAcentral.
GAUGAACGCUAGCGGCAGGCUUAAUACAUGCAAGGCGAAGGGGCAGCAAUGUCACUGUCGUACGGGUGCGUAACGCGUAUGCAACCUACCUAUCACUGGGGGAUAGCCCGGGGAAACCCGGAUUAAUACCGCAUAACACAGGGGCUCCACAUGGAGAUAUUUGUUAAAGAUUUAUCGGUGGUAGAUGGGCAUGCGUUCGA